RNAcentral lists this ribosomal RNA (497 nucleotides) under uncultured bacterium. RNAcentral describes it as "partial 16S ribosomal RNA". It matches the Rfam family "Bacterial small subunit ribosomal RNA", at positions 28 to 507 of the family's 1533-position model. The record is from RNAcentral.
GAUGAACGCUGGCGGCGUGCCUAAUACAUGCAAGUCGAGCGAACGGACGAGAAGCUUGCUUCUCUGAUGUUAGCGGCGGACGGGUGAGUAACACGUGGAUAACCUACCUAUAAGACUGGGAUAACUUCGGGAAACCGGAGCUAAUACCGGAUGAUAUUUUGAACCGCAUGGUUCAAAAGUGAAAGACGGUCUUGCUGUCACUUAUGGAUGGAUCCGCGCUGCAUUAGCUAGUUGGUAAGGUAACGGCUUACCAAGGCAACGAUGCAUAGCCGACCUGAGAGGGUGAUCGGCCACCCUGGGACUGAGACACGGUCCAGACUCCUACGGGAGGCAGCAGUAGGGAAUCUUCCGCAAUGGGCGAAAGCCUGACGGAGCAACGCCGCGUGAGUUAUGAAGGUCUUCGGAUCUUAAAACUCUGUUAUUAGGGAAGAACAUAUGUGUAAGUAACUGUGCACAUCUUGACGGUACCUAAUCAGAAAGCCACGGCUAACUACGUA